Molecule: ribosomal RNA, 328 nt
Filed under: uncultured eukaryote
Lineage: Eukaryota
Description: partial 18S ribosomal RNA
Rfam family: Eukaryotic small subunit ribosomal RNA
Source: RNAcentral
CCCUUAGAUGUCCUGGGCCGCACGCGCGUUACACUGAUGCAUUCAACGAGCUUAUAACCUUGGCCGAGAGGCCUGGGUAAUCUUGUUAACGUGCAUCGUGAUAGGGAUAGAUUAUUGAAAUUAUUAAUCUUGAACGAGGAAUUCCUAGUAAACGCAGAUCAUCAAUCUGCAUUGAUUACGUCCCUGCCCUUUGUACACACCGCCCGUCGCACCUACCGAUUGGAUGGUCCGGUGAAGCCUCGGGAUUGUGGUUCUUGCCGCUUUAUUGUGGCGUGACCGCGAGAACUUGUCUAAACCUUAUUAUCUAGAGGAAGGUGAAGUCGUAACA